This 1462-nucleotide long non-coding RNA is filed under the name Anas platyrhynchos platyrhynchos (common mallard). Its description in RNAcentral is "lncRNA (ENSAPLG00000025872.1)". Lineage: Eukaryota; Metazoa; Chordata; Aves; Anseriformes; Anatidae. The record is from RNAcentral.
GGUCCCCGUCCCGCUGUCAGGGUGCUCAUUUUUGGGACCCCCCCCCCAGGUCCCCGAUGCAGGGAACGACCCCUCCUUGCUCCAUCCCCAAGCUCUACAUUCGGGGGGUGUCACCCCUGCUGCCCCACCAGUGGCUCCCAGUCCUCCCAGCUGUCCCAGUGCUGGGUUCCUCGCAGCGUCCCCAGCUCCUGGCGCUGUGACAUCUCCGGGCUUUGUCGCGUUCCCAGGCCCGCUGCUUUGUCAUUGCUCCUGCAGCAUUCAUCGAGUCCUUGUGCCCAGUUAUCCCAGUGCUUGCAGCACCUGGGGUCCCAGUGCCCCAGUAUUCCCAGUGCUCACUUAUCCCAGUGCCUGCAGCACCCUGGGUCCCGGUGUCCCAUUAUUCCCAGUGCCUGCAGCAUCCCUGGUCCCAGUGCUCUGUUACCCCGGGGCGUGCAGCACCCUGGGGUCCCGGUGCUCCGUUAUCCUCAGUGCCUGUUUGUUCUGGGGGUGCAGCACCUUGGGGUCCCGGUGCUCCUUUAUUCCUGGUGCCCUCUGUCCCCGGGCAUGCAGCACCCUUGGGUCCCGGUGUUCCGUUAUCCCUGGUGCUCUGUUAUCACGGUGCCUGUAGCACCCUGGGGUCCCGGUGUGCCCUUAUCCCCAGUGCCCGCUGUCCUUGGGCGUGCAGCACCCUUGGGUCCCGGCACUCCAUCAUCCUCAGUGCCUGCUGUCCCGGGGCAUGCAGCACCCUGGGGUCCCCGUGCUCCGUUAUCUCCAGUGCUCUGUUAUCACGGAGCCUGCAGCACCCUGGGGUCCUGGUGCUCCGGUAUCCCCAAUGCCCGCUUAUUCUGGGGGCAUGCAGUACCCUUGGGUCCCAGUGUCCUCUGUCCCGGGGGGUGCAGCACCCUUGGGUCCCAGUGCUCUGUUAUCACGGUGCCUGCAGCACCCUGGGGUCCCGGCGCUCCGUUAUCCCCGGUGCCCUCCGUCCCAGUGCGCGCAGCACCCUUGGGUCCCGGUGCGCCCUUCUCCCCGGUGCCCGCUCUCCUUGGGCACGCAGCACCCUUGGGUCCCGGCGCUGCGUUAUCCCCGGUGCCCCCCGCCCCGCUGCGCGCACCCCGCCGCCCCCUGCACCCCCCGCGGCUGCCGCACCGAGGCGCUCCGUGGCACCGCCCGGGCGCCUCCUCCAGCGGCCGGGGAGGGUCGGGGCGGGGGCCGGGACCGGGACCGGGACCGGGAACGGAUCCUGCCCGGUGCGGGGGCCCGGCUUGGCCUCUCUCUCGGUGCCCUGCCCCCCCCCCCCCCCCCAGCCAUGCUGCGCUGCCUGCUCCAGCGAGCCAGCCACCUCCCCAACCUCGAGAAGGGGGACAGGCAGAGCGACCCGGUGGCCAGCCUGACUUUCCGAGGUGAGGGCACCCCAAAUCUGCCUUUUGGGGCUGGGGGACGGGGGUGGGGGGCAGGAUUUUUUGCUUUGCCUGGGGCGAGUUAU